This is a long non-coding RNA of Centropristis striata (black sea bass), 1040 nucleotides long. RefSeq lists it as uncharacterized. NCBI's taxonomy places the organism in Eukaryota, Metazoa, Chordata, Actinopteri, Perciformes, Serranidae. The record is from RefSeq and is a predicted model, not a curated record. The transcript is spliced from 5 exons.
AUAUUAAUGUCACAUUCUUUUAGAAGCCAGGGUAUUAUUCUUCUGUGACUAUCAAAAGUAUCAAUAUGCAGUUACUUCUAACAUUUAUGUGCCGCGGAACAGCGGUUGGGAAUCACUGGAUUGGAGCACAGUUAUGGGGCGAAUCUGAUUGGCUCCUUGUGUUUUGGCUUGAUGUAAAUCCUGUCCGCUGGCGGGACUCGGCUUCUCUGGCUUUUCGUCUGAGAUAAACACUACUUCACCAAAGAGACUUGAGUAUCCAAUUCUUCGUUGACCUUCAGCAUUCAGUUGUUUGUCUUCACCUUUUCAGGCUAAAACCUGAGAAGCCAUCAUCAUGUUGUUGUUUCACACCAGAGUUUCCUGUGUCCAGCAUCUUCAAGACAGACUAAGCGAACUUUUCAUAUUUUUUGCACAUUUAUAUUUAGGUUAGGUUAGGAGUAGGUUUGGUUUAUAGUAGAGUAUUUAGUUUGUAUAGUUUAGCUUUGUAUGCUAGUCUAGGGACAGUUAAGUUAGCACAUUAAUUUAGUUCAAAUCACUCACAGUUGCAUAUUAUUGUUACAAUUGUGUUAUUUUGUGAGUUUUUGUUGUACGGGCUAUUGUAUAUUGCAGGACCAAGUGAGACGAGGAAGACCACUGCUUCCACUGCGCUCAGAAAGUGCGUUGGACAAGUCUCGACCUUGCAUAUCCUGUCUCACUUAGCCCAACCACUUCCGAACAUGGGGUACCUCAAAGACCUCCGUCAACCAGCCGGCUGUGGAUGAUGGAUAACGCACCCACAACUCCUUCUCCAGUCUACAAGGUUCUGAAAAUACAGACACCCCCACAGUCCAAGAACAGCUGGAUGACCUCUGGACCCACUUGCCCCGUUCACCAGUUGAAAAGAUAGGCUUUAAAAAAAUUUUUAAAUUGUUAAUUCUGCACAAAGUGAUACACAAAACAUUGCAUGUAUUCCAUUUCAACAAACACAAACAUGAAAUGUAUAUUUAAAUACAUGACUUAAUGCAAAUCAAUCAUACUAAACAUCAUCUUCUUUUUUUUUUAAA